Molecule: non-coding RNA, 30 nt
Filed under: Mus musculus (house mouse)
Lineage: Eukaryota; Metazoa; Chordata; Mammalia; Rodentia; Muridae
Source: RNAcentral
UUCACAGAAACUUUGCCAGACUGCUGCCUU